CCUACGGGAGGCUGCAGUGGGGAAUAUUGGACAAUGGGGGCAACCCUGAUCCAGCCAUGCCGCGUGUGUGAAGAAGGCCCUCGGGUUGUAAAGCACUUUCAGUGAGGAAGAACGCCUGGUGGUUAAUACCCAUCAGGAAAGACAUCACUCACAGAAGAAGCACCGGCUAACUCCGUGCCAGCAGCCGCGGUAAUACGGAGGGUGCGAGCGUUAAUCGGAAUUACUGGGCGGAAAGCGCGCGUAGGUGGCUUGAUAAGCCGGUUGUGAAAGCCCCGGGCUCAACCUGGGAACGGCAUCCGGAACUGUCAAGCUAGAGUGCAGGAGAGGAAGGUGGAAUUCCCGGUGUAGCGGUGAAAUGCGUAGAGAUCGGGAGGAAUACCAGUGGCGAAGGCGGCCUUCUGGACUGACACUGACACUGAGGUGCGAAAGCGUGGGUAGCAAACAGGAUUUAGAUACCCUGGUAGUC
RNAcentral lists this ribosomal RNA (466 nucleotides) under Vreelandella stevensii. Its description in RNAcentral is "partial 16S ribosomal RNA". It matches the Rfam family "Bacterial small subunit ribosomal RNA", at positions 338 to 795 of the family's 1533-position model. Lineage: Bacteria; Pseudomonadati; Pseudomonadota; Gammaproteobacteria; Oceanospirillales; Halomonadaceae. The record is from RNAcentral.